Molecule: long non-coding RNA, 953 nt
Filed under: Cyanistes caeruleus (blue tit)
Lineage: Eukaryota; Metazoa; Chordata; Aves; Passeriformes; Paridae
Description: lncRNA (ENSCCEG00000005475.1)
Source: RNAcentral
ACUGCAUUAAUGUGAUCCCCUGACAGUGUUCUCUAGAAUAAGCAGGCCCAGCUUCCAGUCUCCCCUCAUAAAAGAGAAGCUCCAGGCCCCAAAUGAUCUUUGUGGGCCCCCACUGGACCCUCUCUUAUAGCUCCUUGUCUUUCUUGUACUGAGGACCCCAGAAUCACAAGUGUGCCUCCUCACUUAAAAGCAGAUAUGCUGGAUAAAUGCCUUACUCCUUUGUAGCAGAUUUUCUUCCAAUGCAGAAAUAAGUUUUUUCAAUUGUAUCUUCCAAUUUAGAGACUUGUCUUUUAUGUUUUUUAAUCCAAAAUUAUUUUUUAAUGUUUUCUGCUAAACACCAAAUAAAUAACUAAAUUAAUUAAUUAAUAGAAAUACAAUAGCUUUCCUGACCACCAAACAGAGAUUGGUUUAUGUUUCUGAGCUUCUGAAUAUUUGUGAUUGUUCACUGCUAGGCUGUAUCAGAACUGCAGUGUUUGAGGAAGGGAAGGCAGUUUUGCAGAACAUGCUGAAAAGUUACAUAAGACACAAUCGUGAUUACACUGUUUUAAUUCUGUUGUGUACAAAACGUAUUUACACUGACUUCCAGAAAGGUUAACUUCCAUAACAAUUCUCUAUAUGUGCCACAUGAAAAACAAAGGACUUAGUGCCCCGUUUGUGCAUUCUGGGUCAGGAAAUGCUGGAAGUGUCUAUUUCUAGAAAAUGGUAGCUGGCUGUACCUGAGCCCAAUGUUUUCCAUUGCUGCACAUCAUGAGACUCUUGGUGAACAAUUCCCUGGACAUGGGAGGUUCAAAUUUCUGAAAGGCUUAGCCAGGUCUUUUAGCAUGCUGUUUAAGAAGAAAAGAGAGAGAAGUCAGUAUGUACUGCAUCGGUACAGGACAACACAUAAAUGUCUCAAGGGCACAACUUUUCUCCUUCAGGAUGAACUGUUAGAGCAAAGGACAGCCUUCCAGUGA